UCAUGGUCGGGCCAGGUACGGGCGUGGCUCCCAUGAUGGGCUUCCUGCAGGAGCGCGAGCACCUCGUCAAGUCCGGGAAGAAGCUGGGCCCUGCGAUGCUCUUCUUUGGUUGCCGGCGUCA
Molecule: non-coding RNA, 121 nt
Filed under: Alexandrium monilatum
Lineage: Eukaryota; Dinophyceae; Gonyaulacales; Pyrocystaceae
Source: RNAcentral